This 444-nucleotide ribosomal RNA is filed under the name uncultured bacterium. Its description in RNAcentral is "partial 16S ribosomal RNA". It matches the Rfam family "Bacterial small subunit ribosomal RNA", at positions 338 to 795 of the family's 1533-position model. The record is from RNAcentral.
CCUACGGGUGGCAGCAGUGGGGAAUAUUGGUCAAUGGUGGCGACUCUUACCCAGCAAUGUCGCGUGAAUGAGGAAGGUAUUCAGAUUGUAAAGUUCUUUAAUUCAGGACGAAAAAAAUGACGGUACCCAAGGAAUAAGCGCCGGGUAACUACGUGCCAGCAGCGGCGGCAAUACGUAGGGGGCAAGCGUUGUUCGGAUUAACGGGGCGUAAGGGUUGUGUAGGCGGUGUAGGUAGUUAGAAGGGAAAUACCUAGAGCUUAACUCCGGUGCUGCUUGUAAAACUGGUAUACUUGAGUGCAGUAGAGGAAAGUGGAAUGCGUAGUGUAGCGGUGGAAUGCGUAGAUAUCAGGAGGAACAUCAGUGGCGAAGGCGACUUUCUGGCUUGUAACUGACGCUGAGGCACGAAAGUGUGGGGAGCAAACAGGAUUAGAUACCCGAGUAGUC